CCGGUCUUAGCUCAGUUGGUAGAGCGGGAGACUGUAGUGAAAUCGACAUCUCUAGGUCACUAGUUCGAAUCUUGUAGACCGGA
This 83-nucleotide transfer RNA is filed under the name Parasitella parasitica. It matches the Rfam family "tRNA". Rfam says of the family: Transfer RNA (tRNA) molecules are approximately 80 nucleotides in length. The record is from Rfam by way of RNAcentral. Lineage: Eukaryota; Fungi; Mucoromycota; Mucoromycetes; Mucorales; Mucoraceae.